GAGUUUGAUCAUGGCUCAGAACGUACGCUGGCGGCACGCCUAACACAUGCAAGUCGAACGAAGUAGCAAUACUUAGUGGCAGACGGGUGAGUAACAUGUAGGUAUCUGCCCUUUGGCCUGGAAUAACACGAGGAAACUUGUGCUAAUACCGGAUAAGUCUUUACGGAGAAAGCUUUAUGCACCAUUGGAUGAGCCUGCACUUGAUUAGUUUGUUGGUAGGGUAAUGGCCUACCAAGACUGUGAUCAAUAGCUGAUUUGAGAGGAUGAUCAGCCACAUUGGGACUGAGACACGGCCCAAACUCCUACGGGAGGCAGCAGUGGGGAAUCUUGCACAAUGGAGGAAACUCUGAUGCAGCGAUGCCGCGUGAGUGAAGAAGGCCCUUGGGUUGUAAAGCUCUUUCGUCGGGGAAGAAAAUGACUGUACCCGAAUAAGAAGGUCCGGCUAACUUCGUGCCAGCAGCCGCGGUAAUACGAAGGGACCUAGCGUAGUUCGGAAUUACUGGGCUUAAAGAGUUCGUAGGUGGUUGAAAAAGUUAGUGGUGAAAUCCCAGAGCUUAACUCUGGAACUGCCAUUAAAACUUUUCAGCUAGAGUAUGAUAGAGGAAAGCAGAAUUUCUAGUGUAGAGGUGAAAUUCGUAGAUAUUAGAAAGAAUACCAAUUGCGAAGGCAGCUUUCUGGAUCAUUACUGACACUGAGGAACGAAAGCAUGGGUAGCGAAGAGGAUUAGAUACCCUCGUAGUCCAUGCCGUAAACGAUGUGUGUUAGACGUUGGAAAUUUAUUUUCAGUGUCGCAGGGAAACCGAUAAACACACCGCCUGGGGAGUACGACCGCAAGGUUAAAACUCAAAUGAACUGACGGGGACCCGCACAAGUAGUGGAGCAUGUGGUUUAAUUCGAAGAUACGCGCAGAACCUUACCAACACUUGACAUGUUCGUCGCGACUCUAAGAGAUUAGAGUUUUCGGUUCGGCCGGACGAAACACAGGUGCUGCAUGGCUGUCGUCAGCUCGUGUCGUGAGAUGUUGGGUUAAGUCCCGCAACGAGCGCAACCCUCACUUUUAGUUGCCAUCAUUAAGUUGGGCACUCUGAAAGAACUGCCAGUGAUAAGCUGGAGGAAGGUGGGGAUGACGUCAAGUCCUCAUGGCCCUUAUGUGUUGGGCUACACACGUGCUACAAUGGUAUCUACAACAGGAAGCAAGACUGCGAAGUUAAGCAAAUCCCUAAAAGAUACCUCAGUUCGGAUUGCACUCUGCAACUCGAGUGCAUGAAGCUGGAAUUACUAGUAAUCGUGGAUCAGCGUGCCACGGUGAAUGCGUUCCCGGGUCUUGUACACACCGCCCGUCACACCAUGGGAGUUGGUUCUACCUUAAGGCAAGGUUUCAAACCCUUGACCACGGUAUAGUCAGCGACUGGGGUGAAGUCGUAACAAGGUAACC
This 1435-nucleotide ribosomal RNA is filed under the name uncultured marine bacterium. Its description in RNAcentral is "bacterial SSU rRNA". It matches the Rfam family "Bacterial small subunit ribosomal RNA". The record is from RNAcentral.